RNAcentral lists this ribosomal RNA (301 nucleotides) under uncultured bacterium. Its description in RNAcentral is "partial 16S ribosomal RNA". It matches the Rfam family "Bacterial small subunit ribosomal RNA", at positions 509 to 808 of the family's 1533-position model. The record is from RNAcentral.
CAGCAGCCGCGGGAAUACGUAGGUCCCGAGCGUUGUCCGGAUUUAUUGGGCGUAAAGCGAGCGCAGGCGGUUAGAUAAGUCUGAAGUUAAAGGCUGUGGCUUAACCAUAGUACGCCUUGGAAACUGUUUAACUUGAGUGCAAGAGGAGAGAGUGGAAUUCCAUGUGUAGCGGUGAAAUGCGUAGAUAUAUGGAGGAACACCGGUGGCGAAAGCGGCUCUCUGGCUUGUAACUGACGCUGAGGCUCGAAAGCGUGGGGCGCAAACAGGAUUAGAUACCCGAGUAGUCCCUGUCUCUUAUACA